CCUACGGGCGGCAGCAGUGAGGAAUAUUGGUCAAUGGACGAGAGUCUGAACCAGCCAAGUAGCGUGAAGGAUGACUGCCCUAUGGGUUGUAAACUUCUUUUAUAUGGGAAUAAAACGUUCCACGUGUGGGAUUUUGUAUGUACCAUAUGAAUAAGGAUCGGCUAACUCCGUGCCAGCAGCCGCGGUAAUACGGAGGAUCCGAGCGUUAUCCGGAUUUAUUGGGUUUAAAGGGAGCGUAGGUGGAUUGGUAAGUCAGUUGUGAAAGUUUGCGGCUCAACCGUAAAAUUGCAGUUGAAACUGGCAGUCUUGAGUACAGUAGAGGUGGGCGGAAUUCGUGGUGUAGCGGUGAAAUGCUUAGAUAUCACGAAGAACUCCGAUUGCGAAGGCAGUUCACUGGACUGCAACUGACACUGAGGCUCGAAAGUGUGGGUAUCAAACAGGAUUAGAUACCCCUGUAGUC
Molecule: ribosomal RNA, 460 nt
Filed under: uncultured bacterium
Lineage: Bacteria
Description: partial 16S ribosomal RNA
Rfam family: Bacterial small subunit ribosomal RNA
Source: RNAcentral